Molecule: transfer RNA, 77 nt
Filed under: Candidatus Diapherotrites archaeon ADurb.Bin253
Lineage: Archaea; Nanobdellati; Candidatus Iainarchaeota
Description: tRNA-Arg
Rfam family: tRNA
About the family: Transfer RNA (tRNA) molecules are approximately 80 nucleotides in length. Their secondary structure includes four short double-helical elements and three loops (D, anti-codon, and T loops). Further hydrogen bonds mediate the characteristic L-shaped molecular structure. tRNAs have two regions of fundamental functional importance: the anti-codon, which is responsible for specific mRNA codon recognition, and the 3' end, to which the tRNAs corresponding amino acid is attached (by aminoacyl-tRNA synthetases). tRNAs cope with the degeneracy of the genetic code in two manners: having more than one tRNA (with a specific anti-codon) for a particular amino acid; and 'wobble' base-pairing, i.e. permitting non-standard base-pairing at the 3rd anti-codon position.
Source: RNAcentral
UGCGUCUGUAACUCAGCCCGGAUAGAGUACCUCCGUCCUAAGGAGGGAGUCGAAGGUUCAAAUCCUUCCAGACGCGU